Long non-coding RNA from Homo sapiens (human), 525 nucleotides. Lineage: Eukaryota; Metazoa; Chordata; Mammalia; Primates; Hominidae. The record is from Ensembl.
CGCUCCCUUUUGCACGGAUACUUGAGCAUGGCCCCUGUGGUGGGGUACCUGGGGAAAGAGCCUGGGGUGUCUCCUCAGCCCUGACAGCUCACCUCGUGUCAAGAGAAGCUUGUUGAGAUGGAGCAUGCUGGAGAAGCCCCCCAAGACCAGGCUUGAAACAAGGGGAGAUUGUUUUUGGGGACUCUGGAAGACUAGGCAUUGCACGGACCCAUGCUAGACAGAUCGGGGAAGGGCUGGAGGUCACUCUGGCAUGUAGGAUCCUGGAUCACUCUGAGAGGUCACUGGAAAAGAACGAGAACAGCUUUCCCCAUUUCUUAGUGUGCUGAAGUGGGACGUGAAGACAGGCAAGGAAAGUGCUUCCAGCGGUCAGUCAGCCAGGUGCUCUGCUCAGAGGCAGAGCUGGCAGGAGCCUGGGAGGUGCUGGCACACGUCUUUCCCGCCCCAAAGCCACCCACUGGCUUCUCUCACGGCCACCCUGGAGGUUACAGCACAUGCAUCUUUAAUUUUUUCAAUUAACAACAAUAU